UACGGCCACUUCAUGUUGAUACACCGGUUCCCGUAAGAUCACCGAAGUUAAGCAACGUCUAACCUGCUCAGUACCUAGAUGGGUGACUGCAUGGGAAUACCAGGUGCUGUAAG
This 113-nucleotide ribosomal RNA is filed under the name Acanthosepion pharaonis. The record is from RNAcentral. Lineage: Eukaryota; Metazoa; Mollusca; Cephalopoda; Sepiida; Sepiidae.